UGGCCGUUACUGUGGAGACCGCAGCCCGUGCCCGAGGAGGAGGAGGAGAAGCAGCAGGGGGAGAGGCGGCUGGGGCGAAGCGGAUGCCCCCACCGGGAAGGACCCGAGAGCCGGGCCCCAGUUUUCUUGGUAGAGCCCCACACACGCUCGGUCAGACGCCUGUGGCCAAAGUUUUGAUUCCCUGUGAUCGCUGCUGCUAAGUGCUCCACAUGCCCGGGAGGUCAAGAUGAUUAAACCUGGCUUUCAACAAAUCGCAUUAUGCUUCAGAAUUUGGUGACUUUGGGUCAAGUGCUUGUGUUUUAGUCCGUGUGACCUUGGGGAAUGUAACAGCUCCGCCACGUCACCACUAGGUGGCGCACCAGCCUAGGAUUUGGGGAAAUGAAGCCGAGACCGUUGGGAAUAAACUGCGAGCCCAGAUGGGUGCCCUCUCCCCGAAGAAAAACCACAGCGGCCUUCUGCUGUCGUCUCUCUCCUCUUUCCUGUACCCACAAAUGCCUGCCUCGAAACGCUGAACAUCGUUCACGCAGCCACAGGUCGCCCGGCUUACUCUUGUUCUGACCCCACGGUUGACUGACGACUCAAACAAACCUCUCUGAUGCCUCUUAAAACACAAACCGACAAACGGGGGCUGACAACAGGGCUGGCAGAACUCCCGUCUGCAAAGAAGACUCGGUGAAAGCGGGCGGCCUCACUGGUUCAAGCGCAAUGCCUUACCCUCAUCAGCCAACCCCGAGCUCUUAAGACACGUCAAAGUAAGGCAACGAGAGCAUCUUAGAAAAACGGAGGACAGAAUGGAACGGAGUGAGGACGCUGGAAGGAGACCAGUAGAGAGCUGCCGUGCUACUCAGGAAGACAGCUAGUGAACAGCCUGGACCAACAUGCUCAGCGGCAGAAUCAGCAGCAU
Mesocricetus auratus (golden hamster) is the source of this 904-nucleotide long non-coding RNA. RefSeq lists it as uncharacterized. Lineage: Eukaryota; Metazoa; Chordata; Mammalia; Rodentia; Cricetidae. The transcript is spliced from 3 exons. The record is from RefSeq and is a predicted model, not a curated record.